UACAGAGACUGCAAGCGUUAUUCGGAUUCACUGGGCGUAAAGGGUGCGCAGGCGGUCGGGUGUGUCAGAUGUGAAAUCCCUAGGCUCAACCUAGGAACUGCACUCGAAACUGUUUAUCUUGAGUGCCGGGAGAGGAAAGCGGAAAUUCCUGGUGUAGAGGUGAAAUUCGUAGAUAUCAGGAGGAACACCAGUGGCCGAAGGCGGCUUUCUGGACGG
RNAcentral lists this ribosomal RNA (216 nucleotides) under uncultured bacterium. RNAcentral's name for it is "partial 16S ribosomal RNA". It matches the Rfam family "Bacterial small subunit ribosomal RNA", at positions 524 to 736 of the family's 1533-position model. The record is from RNAcentral.